RNAcentral lists this ribosomal RNA (239 nucleotides) under uncultured bacterium. Its description in RNAcentral is "partial 16S ribosomal RNA". It matches the Rfam family "Bacterial small subunit ribosomal RNA", at positions 99 to 334 of the family's 1533-position model. The record is from RNAcentral.
CGAACGGGUGAGUAAUACGUGAGUGACCUACCUUUGACUCUGGGAUAAGCCUGGGAAACUGGGUCUAAUACCGGAUACAACCAAUCUCUGCAUGGGGUGUUGGUGGAAAGCGUUAUGGAGUGGUUUUAGAUGGGCUCACGGCCUAUCAGCUUGUUGGUGAGGUAAUGGCUUACCAAGGCGACGACGGGUAGCCGGCCUGAGAGGGUGACCGGCCACACUGGGACUGAGACACGGCCCAG